CCCUCUUUCAUCCCAAGUUUUGGGCUCGAAAGUCUUGUUUCGUUUGAAAUCUCAGAGGCUUGUGCUCAUGCUUUUGUUAGAACGACCUGACUGUUUCGACUCCAACAGGUCUUGCACCUCAUGAUCUACUCUGUUUAAAGGGUUCACAAGUUAUUUCACGGAUUGGCAAGUCUAGUGUAUGUUUAAGGCAUAUAAUAUAAUUGAUUUUUAAAAAGUUUAGGUUCGCUGGAAUUUUACGAACGGUGCGCAGAUGAUGUUGAAAACUGCGGCUAAUUUGCCUCCAGAGUCCCGAGAUCGGAGGUUCUUUAUCCAUGGACUUGGCGCUGAUAAGACAGACUAGGGCUCAAAAGGAAUAUUUUGAAAGACGAACAAUAAAGGAAUAUUCGAGAUUAUUUCUGUCUUCCUCUUGGAAUCGCAGGAAUAGCCAUCAUCAUGGGUCGUAAAAAUAGUACAGAAGCCUCGCGAGGGGUUCGUGUAAAUCUGAUUUUACUGCCACCAAGACGAAGCGGCAGGCUAGUUUUGGCCGGCUUCUCGGCAUAAGGUCUCAGAAAAUUGCCUCGCGAGCCGAUAACUCCGCCGCUGAUGAGGGCCAAAAUAAUUGACGCUGCGAUUGAGUGGCGCUAGAAAAGUUGACGGGGUUAGGCAUAACAUAAAUAACAGUUAGAUGGCCGAAGCAGGUUUCCGUGGGCCAACAAGGAAUUUCAAGGCGAAGUUCUUUAGAUUAAACUAAAACAUGAGACAGAAGGUAGUCACAAUGGAACUAGCCGACGAGAAGACGCAUGGGAUUUGGGAUCCUGAAGCAUGGACUUGUUCCUCUGUCUGGAGGAACCCUGUAAAUGUAUCAGCAGCAUGCAAUAUAUGGUGUUUAAAAAGCAAUCACCUAAUUGGGAAAGGAAUCGAGAAGUUAGAAACUAUUGGAGAAGCCCCUGAAGAUCAUG
Prosopis cineraria is the source of this 938-nucleotide long non-coding RNA. RefSeq lists it as uncharacterized. The record is from RefSeq and is a predicted model, not a curated record. The transcript is spliced from 3 exons. NCBI's taxonomy places the organism in Eukaryota, Viridiplantae, Streptophyta, Magnoliopsida, Fabales, Fabaceae.